Molecule: ribosomal RNA, 1206 nt
Filed under: Triticum aestivum (bread wheat)
Lineage: Eukaryota; Viridiplantae; Streptophyta; Magnoliopsida; Poales; Poaceae
Description: partial small subunit ribosomal RNA
Source: RNAcentral
AUGGCCGCGCUCCUCUCCCGUCCGCCUCGGCGCCUCAUCCGCUUCCCCAAGCCCCAAACCCUCCUCUACCCGGCAUUGACCCCGCCUUCCCCUCCCCACGAUCUCCCGGCGAGCAUCCUGCCGCUGAGAUUCAGAGAGUCGGGAUGGAGUGCGCCGCCGCAGUGGCAGCUGUGGCAGCGCGCCCUGUGCACACACUCCGACCCUCGGAGCUCCGGCACCUGCGACGCUGGCCUGGCCGCUGCUGCAGGCGCAUCGCCCGACGUCGCCCAGGUGUCCGGCGUGGGCGCCAACGGAGCGCACCAGACGGCCGCCGAGAAAGGAGAUCCUGAGACUAGUGUGUGUAGCAAGGCCAUUAAAAUCAUGACGUACAAUGUGUAUUUCGGGCAGAACAUGGAACUGCACAGUAGAAUUCCUGCUAUUGGAGAUAUUAUUCAGCACCACAGCCCAGAUCUUAUAUGCCUCCAGGAGGUUACACCAGAGAUAUAUGGGCUUCUUGAAAAAUCCGACUGGUGGGCAGAAUACAAAUGCUUCAUGCCACGUGAGAUGGCAUAUUAUAUAGAAGCGGAAAAGGUCCGUUCCAAUAUGGUGAGACCAUUCAUGAAAAAGAAAAGAAAUAUGAGAUCAUAUUUCUGCAUGCAGAUGAGCAAAUUGCCAGUGGAUUCUUUCCGCGGUGUUCCAUUUUCCAAUUCAGCAAUGGGAAGGGAGCUGAGCAUGGCAAAUGGCACAAGCCACCUAGAGAGCCCGCGCCGUGAGGCUCCUUGGUGGGAUCACAACAUGAGCAGAAACAAGCGAGCCGCUCAGGCAAAGGAAUCCCUCAUGUUGUUGGGAGGAAGAGGAUCCCGCAACGUGAUAUUCUGCGGGGACAUGAACUGGGACGACAAGAUAGACGGGCCCUUCCCUCUGCCAGACGGCUGGGUUGACGCCUGGGCUGAGCUGAAGCCAGGUGAAGGUGGCUGGACGUACGACACGGUGGCCAACGCCAUGCUGUCUAAAGGGUACAAGAAACUACAGCUGAGGCUGGAUCGGUUCGUGUGCAAGCUGCCGGAUUUCGAGGUCCAAAAGGUGAAGGAAUUCAGCCAUAAGUCAAAGUCUGGAAAGAAAUUCAGCGGGACGUGGGAGUGGAUGCUGCCUGUGCUGCCCAGCGACCACUUUGGGCUCGUCUUGACGAUCGCCCCUCGGGAUGGAAGCAGUGCUCCGUUAGAGUAA